AACGUAGAGCUCAUGAUCACA
RNAcentral lists this microRNA (21 nucleotides) under Marchantia polymorpha subsp. ruderalis. Lineage: Eukaryota; Viridiplantae; Streptophyta; Marchantiopsida; Marchantiales; Marchantiaceae. The record is from RNAcentral.